CCUACGGGUGGCUGCAGUGAGGAAUAUUGCGCAAUGGGCGAAAGCCUGACGCAGCGACGCCGCGUGGAGGAUGAAGGCCUUCGGGUUGUAAACUCCUGUCAGUGGGGAAGAGAAUGGACGGUACCCACUGAGGAAGCUUCGGCUAACUACGUGCCAGCAGCCGCGGUAAGACGUAGGGAGCAAGCGUUGUCCGGAAUUACUGGGCGUAAAGAGCUCGUAGGCGGGUUCGUAAGUCUUAGAGUAAAUCUCACGGCUCAACCGUGGGGCCUUCUGAGAUACUGCGAAUCUUGAGGAUGUCAGAGGAAAGUAGAAUUCCCGGUGUAGCGGUGAAAUGCGUAGAUAUCGGGAGGAAUACCAGUGGCGAAGGCGACUUUCUGGGACAUUCCUGACGCUGAGGAGCGAAAGCGUGGGGAGCAAACGGGAUUAGAUACCCCAGUAGUC
RNAcentral lists this ribosomal RNA (441 nucleotides) under uncultured bacterium. Its description in RNAcentral is "bacterial SSU rRNA". It matches the Rfam family "Bacterial small subunit ribosomal RNA", at positions 338 to 795 of the family's 1533-position model. The record is from RNAcentral.